AGUCGGGUAGCUCAGUGGUAGAGCACGAAGAAUGAUACUGACAAGUAUCGCUCCAGCACUCCUUCAAUUGCCUGUUAAGCACGUGGUCGCUGGUUCGAAUCCAGCCCCGACUA
The sequence is a transfer RNA, 113 nucleotides long. It matches the Rfam family "tRNA". Rfam says of the family: Transfer RNA (tRNA) molecules are approximately 80 nucleotides in length. Their secondary structure includes four short double-helical elements and three loops (D, anti-codon, and T loops). The record is from Rfam.